ACAAUUAUUUUUCACCAAUUAGCCCACACUAUUUUUUUUCUUUUCUUCGUUCUUCUUCCUCCUCUUUCAUGACUUUCCACCCCAAAAUUUCUAUAUCAUUAUAUAUGUUCUUACAUUCUCCUUUUAGAUUCAAAGUUGAUAAUCACUAUUAAGAUGAGAAGAAAAAAUACCAUUUAAGAGAAUUAUUAUUUUUAGAGUCACCAUUAAAGAUCAUUCGAAGCUUCAAUUUCAAAAACUAGAGUUUUUGAUUUUGUUAGUUGUUUAGAUUGGGUGUUGGCCCAAUUGAUUGGGAUCGUCAAUGGGAGUUCAAAACUCAAAUUUGAAGUGAUUUGGAGCAUAUUUGAGCUAGAUUUGAAUUGAAUAUCAGAAGAUGUCCAAAGAAGAAGAAGAACCUGUGAAGCUCCAUUAAUAUGAUUCAUUUGUAUAAUAGUGUAUAAGUAAUGUAUAAUGAUUUAUAAACACCUCUUAUACAUUAUUUUAUACAAGGUUGAUACAUUAUUUAUAUGUAUUUGGUGGAUUUCUCACAUUUUCUUCUUCUUCUUCUUCUUCUACACCUAUAUAUAUGGUGUAUCACUAACAUUUUCA
This 585-nucleotide long non-coding RNA is filed under the name Nicotiana benthamiana. RNAcentral describes it as "long non-coding RNA (NBEN_LNC042003)". The record is from RNAcentral. Lineage: Eukaryota; Viridiplantae; Streptophyta; Magnoliopsida; Solanales; Solanaceae.